Hipposideros armiger (great roundleaf bat) is the source of this 1774-nucleotide long non-coding RNA. RefSeq lists it as uncharacterized. The transcript has 2 exons. The record is from RefSeq and is a predicted model, not a curated record. Lineage: Eukaryota; Metazoa; Chordata; Mammalia; Chiroptera; Hipposideridae.
AAAAAAGAAAAUAUGUUGGGACGAGAACUCUACGGAUACCCCAGACCACCAGAAAGAUGAACCAGUGAGUUAAGCUUGAAACAUCGCUGGAGGCAAAAAUAACAAAAUUGAAGUUGUCCUACUUUGAGCACAUGAUAAGAGACAAGAUUCUUUGGAAAAUAGGCAGCAGGAAAAGAGGAAGACCCAAUAGGAGAUGGAUUCACUCCAUAAAAGAAGCCAUGGGCUUGAGUCUACAGGAGCAGAGCAGAGCUGUUGAGAACAGGACACUGUGGACAUCAUUCAUUCAUGGGGUGGCCAGGAGUCAGAAGCAACUCAAUGCCAGUCCUCCAUCCUGCUGUUUGGACCAAGCUGUUGCAGCUCCAGCAGCCAUACUGGGUCAUGAAGAUCAAGGUCACACCCUAGAAAUGACAGAGUGGAAAGUUGGAAGGAACCUGAAUCCCUGAUCACUGUGGAGCUGCUGGAUUUGUUCUGAAAUGCCUCGCGACAGAGAAAAACAUUCCUAUCUAAUUUAUGCUAGAUGUUGUUUUGGAUUUUCUGUUAUAUUUAGUGGAAUGUAAACCUAAUCUUAAAAUUAGGAAAUUUCACAUAAAAAUUCCUGUCUCUUGCUUAUCCCUUAACCAUUUGGACUAUCUGGUAAACUUGGUUUCAUGCUCCCCAUCUUGGCAAUUGCCUAGGGCAGGAUAAUGGGUACUCACUUGCUUUAGAUGUGGCUGGAGACCCAGCAGGUUCUUUUUCUUUGUUUAAGUUCCUAGAGGUAUUUGAGUUUGCCACCCCUGAAAUGGAUGUUGGGUUUUUAUUUCUACAGUGUGAUAGGCCUUUGUACAAACUUAUUUUGUCCUCUUAGGCUGUUUUCCCAGCUACUUUUUGCGGGGAGUGGGGCAAGAUGGAAAAAUCUGUUUGCUUCAUUUUCAGCAAGAACAUUCCCAAACUGGCAUAGUCUGCAAAGGGAGAUAUUUCAGAUGCUGGUGGAAGCAGGGCCGGCCCUCUACCCUUUGAGAUACCAUGUCAGUCUGUCUUACAUGCCUGCCUGUGGGAGGAGGGAGCGCAGGUCUCAGUGUCCACAGACUUUUCAUGGUGAGGAAGUUCCACUCUCAAGGCAUGGGAGGAGGGAAACAGAGGGUCUUCCACUCCAUGGCUGCAACUUUUCUCAUUUUAAAGACCUUCAUCUAGUCUAAUGAAUUUGUAUUCCUCUAGUCCAUAUAAUUUUGACCCAAUUUCUCACUAAUACGCAAACCUUACUUUAGUGAAAGAGCAUCACCCUCACCCAAUUUCCAACCACUUCUCUGCCCUGGAUCACAUCAGCAAACAUCCCCUGUACUGACUUGAGAAUGGAGAGAAUGGCCUGAGAGGGUUUCCCCUAACCUGGGGGAGGGGCUUAGAAGAUGGAGGUUGGAGUCCAGUUGCUGUCAGACCUAAAUGGACCUGACAAUCGUUUGGGGAGGAGAGACAUUCUAGGUUGAAGGGUUCUUGGUGAGUUAAAGACCGAUUCUUGUCUUUGGCUAUGAAUGAACUCAAGGCCACUAGGGUGUGAGCAGGAAGUAAGAUGAACUCUAUCUCUCAGAAUCAGGCUAAGGACAAAGAAGGCAUAGAAAACUCUUCCAAGCUGCUCAGGCCUUUUGGGAGGAAUCUAUGGGUGUGGGAUGAGACUGACUUUUAAAGGGGAAGGUAUGACAAGAUCAGAAACCUGUGUUUUUGAGCCAGACUAUUUCAAUGUCUAGAUUUGUUUUUUCUGUCUUUUCAUUCUCAGAAUUUUAUUAAACUAAUGAUUCAUUCA